Molecule: ribosomal RNA, 274 nt
Filed under: uncultured bacterium
Lineage: Bacteria
Description: partial 16S ribosomal RNA
Rfam family: Bacterial small subunit ribosomal RNA
Source: RNAcentral
AUACGGAGGUUGCAAGCGUUACUCGGAAUCACUGGGCGUCAAGCGCGCGCAGGCGGCCAUUUAAGUUGGAUGUGAAAGCCUACGGCUCAACCGUAGAACUGCAUCCAAAACUAUUUGGCUAGAGUGUGGGAGAGGAAGAUGGAAUUAGUUGUGUAGGGGUAAAAUCCGUAGAGAUAACUAGGAAUACCAAAAGCGAAGGCAAUCUUCUGGAACACUACUGACGCUGAGGCGCGAAAGCGUGGGGAGCAAACGGGAUUAGAAACCCUUGUAGUCC